CACAAUUGUUGAUAUCCGGGUUUAGGGAACCCCGUCAUCUCCUUUAAAAAGGAGAGAUUCGGGGACGGACCCGCCGCUGUAAUCGGGGACGAAACUUGCACAGGCCACUGCCCUGAGCCUGUCGAAGGGUGGGAAGGCGCAAGGAUUAGGAAGAUCCGAAAGUCAGAAAACCUGCCCGGAUAUUCUUCACGAA
RNAcentral lists this non-coding RNA (193 nucleotides) under Deltaproteobacteria bacterium. The record is from RNAcentral. Lineage: Bacteria; Pseudomonadati; Myxococcota; Myxococcia.